RNAcentral lists this long non-coding RNA (256 nucleotides) under Manihot esculenta (cassava). RNAcentral describes it as "long non-coding RNA (MESC_LNC012044)". Lineage: Eukaryota; Viridiplantae; Streptophyta; Magnoliopsida; Malpighiales; Euphorbiaceae. The record is from RNAcentral.
GAUGUGAGUUAUAAUCAAUUCAACAGCUUCCACUCAGCGGCAGGUAACUUCACUUUCAUAUCCCAUCUCCUAUGUUAUUUUUAUUAUUGAAUACGAACAAACCAAUUGACAUAUUUUUAUUAAUAUAAGAACAAUAUUUUUUUAAUUAAAUCAUUUUUUAUAGAUUUCAUUUGAUAUUAAUUUCACAAAUAUUAUAAAAAUAAAAUAAAAAUUGCAGUUAUGUCAUAAUGAAAUUAAUUAAAUUGAAUAUUUCCUC